Molecule: long non-coding RNA, 202 nt
Filed under: Salvia miltiorrhiza (redroot sage)
Lineage: Eukaryota; Viridiplantae; Streptophyta; Magnoliopsida; Lamiales; Lamiaceae
Description: long non-coding RNA (SMIL_LNC004323)
Source: RNAcentral
UGUAUUUCCUUCCUUGGGGCAGACUUCUACUCUUUGGCUCCGCUCUGCUAAGUAGCUCCGCCUUCUGGCGAAUUGUCUCUGGCAUGUGGCUCCACGCUCUGGCUCCAAUAGCUUAGCUCUGACUCUGGAUCUGGCGAUUUGGCUCUGGCUUUGACUCUAACGACUUAGCUCUGACUCUGGAUCUGGCGACUUGGCUCUGGCU